CAGUUCGGACUGUGGUCUGCAACCCGACCACACGAAGCUGGAAUCGCUAGUAAUCGCGAAUCAGAAUGUCGCGGGGAAUACGUUCCCGGGUCUUGUACACACCGCCCGUCACACCAUGGGAGUCGAUAACGCCCGAAGUCAGUGACCCAACCUGUAAGGAGGGAGCUGCCGAAGGCGGGAUUGAUAACUGGGGUGAAGUCGUAACAAGGUAAC
RNAcentral lists this ribosomal RNA (213 nucleotides) under uncultured bacterium. RNAcentral describes it as "partial 16S ribosomal RNA". It matches the Rfam family "Bacterial small subunit ribosomal RNA", at positions 1289 to 1500 of the family's 1533-position model. The record is from RNAcentral.